AGUGAACGCUGGCGGUAGGCCUAACACAUGCAAGUCGAACGGCAGCACAGUAAGAGCUUUCUCUUACUGUUGGCGAGUGGCGGACGGGUGAGGAAUACAUCGGAAUCUACUUUUUCGUGGGUGAUAACGUAGGGCAACUUACGCUACUACCGCAUACUACCUACGGGUGAAAGCAGGGGAUCUUCGGACCUUGCGCGAUUGAAUUAGCCGAUGUCGGAUUAGCUAGUUGGCGGGGUAAAGGCCCACCAAGGCGACGAUCCGUAGCUGGUCUGAGAGGAUGAUCAGCCACACUGGAACUGAGACACGGUCCAGACUCCUACGGGAGGCAGCAGUGGGGAAUAUUGGACAAUGGGCGCAAGCCUGAUCCAGCCAUACCGCGUGGGUGAAGAAGGCCUUCGGGUUGUAAAGCCCUUUUGUUGGGAAAGAAAAGAAGCAGGUGAAUACCCCGAUGUUCUGACGGUACCCAAAGAAUAAGCACCGGCUAACUUCGUG
RNAcentral lists this ribosomal RNA (492 nucleotides) under uncultured bacterium. Its description in RNAcentral is "partial 16S ribosomal RNA". It matches the Rfam family "Bacterial small subunit ribosomal RNA", at positions 29 to 507 of the family's 1533-position model. The record is from RNAcentral.